This 1260-nucleotide ribosomal RNA is filed under the name Triticum aestivum (bread wheat). RNAcentral describes it as "partial small subunit ribosomal RNA". The record is from RNAcentral. Lineage: Eukaryota; Viridiplantae; Streptophyta; Magnoliopsida; Poales; Poaceae.
AUGCUGUUGUACACCGUCCAGUUCCUCUGCUCCGUGGUCGCUGCCUUCGCCCGCCUCGUCCGCGCCCUCCGCAAGGCCAUGGCAUCCGUCCUCUGCUCCCCGCCGGUCUCCCUGCCCGCCACGACCUCCCCUGCGUCCGCGCCGCUCUCCAUGCGGAGGAAGGCGCACCCGGCUCUCAGCGUCACCGUGGGGGAUGCGCUGCGUGAGCGUGACCAGAGGGAGGCCAGGGAGCAGCUGCUGAUUGCGCCGGCGGUGGAUGCUUUUGCGGCGUGCAACGGCGGUGGUGGCGCCGCGCAGCAGGUCGAAUCCGCGAAGAAGACGGCGCGGGGUGCGAGGAAGAGGCCGUCGAUGCUGGUCAUACCCGUCGCCCCUGAGGCCGUCGAGGUGGCGGCUGGCUGGGGGACCGUUGUGGCCGACAAGGAGGCCGAGGUGGAGGUGGAGGGGGAAGGGUUUUGCUUGGCGAGCAGGAGAGGGGCGAGGCAUGCAAUGGAGGAUGCAUAUGGCGUGAUCGCUCAGAAAGUUGGAGGAGAUUCCCAGCUGGCAUUCUACGGUGUGUACGACGGACACGGCGGCCGCGCAGCGGUGGACUUCGUCUCCGACCACCUCGGCAAGAACGUGGUCGCUGCUGUGCUGGCCACGACGACGGAGGAGGCGCUGGAAGCAGAGCCGUCGUCGUGGUCGACGACGGAUGCUGUCUCGGCGGCCAUCAGAGCCGCCUACUUGGCCACCGACAGCGAGCUCGUCAAGCAGGGCCUCAGAGGUGGCUCAUGUGCCGCAACGGCGCUGGUCAAGGACGGCGACAUCUACGUGGCGAACCUCGGCGACUGCCGCGCCGUCAUGUGCCGCGACGGCGUGGCGACUGCCGUGACCUCCGACCACACCGCCGCGAGGGAGGACGAGAGGUCCCGCAUCGAGAGCUCGGGUGGCUACGUGAGCUGCGGCAGCAACGGCGUGUGGAGGGUGCAGGACUGCCUGGCCGUGUCGCGGGCGUUCGGCGACGCCGACCUCAAGCGGUGGGUGAUCUCCGAGCCAGAGAUCCGGAGGCUUCCCCUCACCGCCGGCUGCGAGUUCCUCGUCCUCGCCUCCGACGGCCUCUGGAACAAGGUGUCCAACCAGGAGGCCGUGGACGCCGUCUCGAGGAGCAGCGCCGGUCGUGACUCCACAGGGUGCUGCAAGGAGCUUGUGGACAUGGCGCGGUGUAGAGGGAGCAGGGAUGACAUCACCGUCAUGGUGGUCGACCUCAAGAGGUUCAUGAUAUAG